Molecule: long non-coding RNA, 1337 nt
Organism: Hyla sarda
Lineage: Eukaryota; Metazoa; Chordata; Amphibia; Anura; Hylidae
Exons: 3
Source: RefSeq, a predicted model, not a curated record
AGUAUAUACGGUAAGUAGAUCUUUGAGGUAGUGCAUCACUUGGUGUGACACUUUUUUUAGGUGAUUUGUUCCGAAUUCUGUUAACUUGUUCUUUUUGAGAACCAUGGGAGGUUCCCAAUAUAUCAGAUUGCAAUAGUUCCAUUUCAGUACGGCGUACAUGGUGAGUUUUUUGUUCUUUGUUCUCAGAUGUUUUUUUAAUAGAAGGAUUGUUGGAGGUUUUCCAUUUAUUUUGAGGAUUGGAGGCCAUUUUGGUGUAAGUAAGAUGAGAUAUAAAGACUGUCCACUAGAGGGCGCAGUGAAGUUGUGGCACUUCAGGGGUAAUUGCACUUUAUAUGAAGGAAAGAGACAGUGAGGACUUUCCUCCUGUGUGAUCUCUUCAGGUUAUUGCUGAGGAACAAGUGUAUGAGCUUUAUAAUGAGCACAGAGAUAUAGAGAGGAGCUGUGUAGUGCUGGCAGGUAUUAUGACUGUAAAGCAACCGUCCUGCGUAAAAUAAAAAAAAAACAAGGAAUUCAGGAAGUGGGAGCAGGAGUUCCGGAACCAUCUCCUGCCAGAGGGUCGGAGUGAGACAGGCCUUGGUGGUCCUCAUAUGUCGCCUGAAUCCGAGAGUGCUGGCAAUCAACCAGGUCCAUCUGCAGGGAGGAUGGUCCGCCAUCAAAACUUGCCCCAAUCACCUGUCCUGUCCUCAGCACCGGCUGAGAUAGAUGAGGAGGAGGAGGUGUCCCCAGGUGAACAACACCAACCACUCUCCCCAACCCUAGCUCCUGGCUCUGUCCCAAGGAAUACUUGCCUGCAGCUUGCUAAAGAAAUCCAAAGGCUGGCCAAGGAGAACAGGAACAUGUCGCGCGAAUUGCGCCGGAUGAAUCGCACCAUGGUUGAACUCCACCGAUCACAAAAACAAGAGUUCCAAGCCCUGUUGGCCAAACAAAUGGGAGAAUUUAAGGCCAUGUUGUCCCACCAUAGCCAACAACAGAUGCAGGCGAUGCAUGAUUUGAGGGUGGACGUUAUGCCCCAUAAGCAGCAGCAGCAAUACCCCCAAAAAAAACUGAAAUAUACGGGACUAAAUUAUUUCGCCUUGUUGAUAUGUUUCAGUUGUUGUUCUGUUUAAGAUAUGUUAUUAUUACUACAGCAGCAUUGAAGGCCUUGGCCAUUCAAGAAAAAACAAACAUUUUUUUCUUUAUCCUGUGUGGUGUCUAAAUUAUUACUAACAUUACAUUAUUUUUAUUUCCACUUUUUUUUUUUUUUUUUUGUGUUGUCCACAUCUUGGGGGAGAUUUAUCAAAACCUGUCCAGAGGAGAAGUUGCCCAUAGCAACCAAUCAGCUCGCUUCUUUAAUUUUU